This 374-nucleotide ribosomal RNA is filed under the name uncultured organism. RNAcentral's name for it is "partial 16S ribosomal RNA". It matches the Rfam family "Bacterial small subunit ribosomal RNA", at positions 527 to 896 of the family's 1533-position model. The record is from RNAcentral.
GGAAGGUGCAAGCGUUAAUCGGAAUUACUGGGCGUAAAGCGCGCGUAGGCGGCUAGAUUAGUCGGGUGUGAAAGCCCUGGGCUCAACCUGGGAACUGCAUUCGAUACUGUCUAGCUAGAGUCUGGUAGAGGGAGGCGGAAUUCCGCAUGUAGCGGUGAAAUGCGUAGAGAUGCGGAGGAACACCAAUGGCGAAGGCAGCCUCCUGGACUAACACUGACGCUGAGGCGCGAAAGCGUGGGGGGAGCAAACAGGAUUAGAUACCCUGGUAGUCCACGCCCGUAAACGAUGUCAACUAGCCGUUGGGAGCAGUUUGGCUCUUGGUGGCGCAGCUAACGCGAUAAGUUGACCGCCUGGGGAGUACGGUCGCAAGAUUA